UAGAGGAGUGGCUUUCGGAGCUAACGCGUUAAAUCGACCGCCUGGGAAGUACGGCCGCAAGGUUAAAACUCAAAUGAAUUGACGGGGGCCCGCACAAGCGGUGGAGCAUGUGGUUUAAUUCGAUGCAACGCGAAGAACCUUACCUACUCUUGACAUCCAGAGAAUUUAGCAGAGAUGCUUUAGUGCCUUCGGGAACUCUGAGACAGGUGCUGCAUGGCUGUCGUCAGCUCGUGUUGUGAAAUGUUGGGUUAAGUCCCGCAACGAGCGCAACCCUUAUCCUUUGUUGCCAGCGAUUCGGUCGGGAACUCAAAGGAGACUGCCGGUGAUAAACCGGAGGAAGGUGGGGAUGACGUCAAGUCAUCAUGGCCCUUACGAGUAGGGCUACACACGUGCUACAAUGGCGUAUACAAAGAGAAGCGACCUCGCGAGAGCAAGCGGAACUCAUAAAGUACGUCGUAGUCCGGAUUGGAGUCUGCAACUCGACUCCAUGAAGUCGGAAUCGCUAGUAAUCGUAGAUCAGAAUGCUACGGUGAAUACGUUCCCGGGCCUUGUACACACCGCCCGUCACACCAUGGGAGUGGGUUGCAAAAGAAGUAGGUAGCUUAACCUUCGGGAGGGCGCUUACCACUUUGUGAUUCAUGACUGGGGUGAAGUCGUAACAAGGUAACCAAGGGCGAAUUCGCGGC
This 686-nucleotide ribosomal RNA is filed under the name uncultured bacterium. RNAcentral describes it as "bacterial SSU rRNA". It matches the Rfam family "Bacterial small subunit ribosomal RNA", at positions 832 to 1518 of the family's 1533-position model. The record is from RNAcentral.